RNAcentral lists this ribosomal RNA (738 nucleotides) under Triticum aestivum (bread wheat). RNAcentral's name for it is "partial small subunit ribosomal RNA". The record is from RNAcentral. Lineage: Eukaryota; Viridiplantae; Streptophyta; Magnoliopsida; Poales; Poaceae.
AUGAGUGUAUUUCGUUUUCCGGCUUCAGUCUGUGAUGAUCUAACCCGAAUGAUGAGGCGGUAUUGGUGGGGAGUGGAGAAUGGGAAGAAAAAGAUGGAUUGGCUCAGCUGGAAAAAAAUAAUGUUGCCCAAGGCUAUGGGGGGUAUGGGGUUUAGAUAUAUGAGGGCGUUGAACCAGGCGUUGAUGGCUAAGCAAGCCUGGCGUCUGUUGGACACCCCGAACAGCUUAUGUGCUCGUCUACUCUGGACAAAAUAUUACCCUAAUGGCAACCUACUAGACACGGUCUUUCCGAGUAGCUCGUCGGCAGUUUGGAAAGGAAUUGUUUAUGGAUUGGAUCUUCUGAAGAAAGGAGUUAUUUGGCGCGUUGGAGAUGGUUCUCUAAUUAAAACAUGGUGUGACCCCUGGAUCCCAUGGGGUCAUGAUUACAAGCAUGUCACGCCGAAGAGAAACUAUAGACUCAAUUGGGUUGCCGAUUUUAUUGAUGAACAUGGAGCAUGGAACGUUCAGAGGCUUCGGGAACAUUUUUGGGACUUGGAUGUUCGUGAGAUAAUUAAAAUCCAAACCUCUCCAAGGAAUAGACAGGAUUUUAUUGCUUGGUAUCCGGAGAAGAGCGGACAGUUUACUGUCAGGAGUGCUUACCGUUUGGCAACUGAUGAGCAGAACCAUGUCGUGGCGACAGGUGCGGCGAGUAUUAAUCCAUCCGACCAUCGACCUAUCUGGCAGUGUAUAUGGGGUGCC